RNAcentral lists this ribosomal RNA (497 nucleotides) under uncultured bacterium. RNAcentral's name for it is "partial 16S ribosomal RNA". It matches the Rfam family "Bacterial small subunit ribosomal RNA", at positions 28 to 507 of the family's 1533-position model. The record is from RNAcentral.
GAUGAACGCUGGCGGCGUGCCUAAUACAUGCAAGUCGAGCGAACGGACGAGAAGCUUGCUUCUCUGAUGUUAGCGGCGGACGGGUGAGUAACACGUGGAUAACCUACCUAUAAGACUGGGAUAACUUCGGGAAACCGGAGCUAACACCGGAUAAUAUUUUGAACCGCAUGGUUCAAAAGUGAAAGACGGUCUUGCUGUCACUUAUAGAUGGAUCCGCGCUGCAUUAGCUAGUUGGUAAGGUAACGGCUUACCAAGGCAACGAUGCAUAGCCGACCUGAGAGGGUGAUCGGCCACACUGGAACUGAGACACGGUCCAGACUCCUACGGGAGGCAGCAGUAGGGAAUCUUCCGCAAUGGGCGAAAGCCUGACGGAGCAACGCCGCGUGAGUGAUGAAGGUCUUCGGAUCGUAAAACUCUGUUAUUAGGGAAGAACAUAUGUGUAAGUAACUGUGCACAUCUUGACGGUACCUAAUCAGAAAGCGACGGCUAACUACGUG